RNA transcript from Nicotiana tabacum (common tobacco), 2086 nucleotides. It is a transcript of the gene named protein EMSY-LIKE 3, with no coding region annotated. The record is from RefSeq and is a predicted model, not a curated record. Lineage: Eukaryota; Viridiplantae; Streptophyta; Magnoliopsida; Solanales; Solanaceae.
AAGAAAACAGCGAAAAAGAUGAGACGGAAUUCAAAUCCUAACAUUAAGCUCAAUAGAAAAAAAUUAUUUCACGUCCGCGUUCCCGAACUCGUACUCUCCCUUCCGAAAUCACACCCAAUUGAUUGAUUUGCUCACUUGUAAAACCCUAACACUUAAUUUUGGACUCCCAAACGGCGUCGCCUCUGGUUCUUUUGUUUCCCGUCGGGUUCUAGUUCAAUUUGAUUUGACAUAUUUCCGGCGACGCUCUAUUCUAUUCUGUGCUCGAAGUUCCUGUUUACGAGCUGGCUAUGGACUACGAGCCGUAUGAUAGCAGUGGAACUGAUGAUGAUCUUCCUCCAUCACAUCAAAAUAGGAUUCCAAGAGGUGGUGGUCGAAUUACUGGAAAUGGAAGAUCUGCUGUCAUUGGUUCUGUCCCCUACCCGAGAAUGUACGGAGAAACAGAUAUGGAGGCCCAAAUUCAUCAACUUGAGCAAGAAGCAUACAGCUCGGUUCUGAGAGCCUUUAAAGCUCAAGCUGAUGCCAUUACAUGGGAGAAAGAAAGUUUGAUAACCGAGUUAAGAAAAGAGUUACGGUUGUCCAAUGAAGAACAUAGAGAACUUCUUGCUAGAGUUAAUAAUGAUGAUGCCAUCAGAAGAAUAAGGGAGUGGAGGCAAUCUGGUGGGCAUCAAUCUGGUAUGCUUGGUGGUGGUCAAUCUGUUCAUGAUCCAAUACCCAGCCCCUCCAUUUCAGCUUCACGGAAGAAACAGAAGAUUGGCCCAUCUUUACCUUCUCAAUCCUUUGCUGGACCAUCUCCUACUUUUCUUCCACCUGUGGUGACUGCUGCAAACCAGCCAUUUUCAUCCGCUGCCAAGAGAGGACCUAUUGCGGGGCCGAAGGGGAAAAAACAUAAAUCUGGCCAAAUGAUGCCUGGUGCGUCUUCAAUGAAGUACCCUACUCCUGGUCCUUCAGGAAGAGCCCAACUCGGUAAUCGGUUUUCUGAACCUGCUGAGGCAGCAUCAUCUGAUCCAUUGGUUGGAAGGAAAGUGAGGACUAGAUGGCCUGAUGACAAUAAUUUUUAUGAAGCAGUUAUAACUGAUUAUAAUCCAGCUGAGGGUAGACAUGCUCUUGUUUAUGACAUGGGUACUGCAAAUGAGACAUGGGAAUGGGUCAACCUUGCUGAGAUUUCUCCUGAGGAUAUUCAGUGGGAGGGCGAAGACCCUGGAAUUUCUCAUCAUGGAAAUUAUGGUGGAUCAGGUCAUGUCAUGACUAGAUCUGGUGGACAUGAUAGUGCUCCAGGUGCAGGGAGAGGUAGGGGGUUGACUAAAGCCCAAUCCAGAAAAGAUUUUCUAAUAUCACAGAAUGGCAUAGGAAAGAAAGGAUCUGAUGAUAUUCAGUUACUUCAUACUGAUACACUGAUCAAAGAGGUGGAGAGGAUCUUUGGUGCUGGCCAUCCAGAUCCUCUCGAGGUUGAGAAGGCAAAGAAAGUGCUGAAGGAGCAUGAACAAGCACUGCUAGAUGCCAUUUCAAGGCUUGGAGAGUUAUCUGAUGGUGAAAGUGCUGUGAAGUUGGAUGAGAUGAUUAAUAAAAAUGGUGAUGGUGGAUGUUGUCUCUGGUAGACUAUGGCAAGAACAAAAUUCCAAACUUCGCCAUUUGAAGUUGAUGGCAAGGAUGAUGUUUCUUGACCUCAAGAUGGAGCUGGAGCUUGGAAGAUGAACGUCAUUUCAUGCAUGGACAAGCAAUGCAUCGGGAGUGACAGGAAUAUCAUGGUGGUGAGUAGUACAGAACAGCUGGGUUAUCGAGCCGCCUAAAAUAACAGCCACAUAGAGGAAGGCAAGAUGUCUAAAACAUUGUUUCCAAUGUCGGUGCGCCAGAAUGAUUUUAGGUCUGUUGUAGAAUGCCAGCUUCAAGAAACGCUUGGCUAACAUUAAUUUAUUGUAGUCUAGUUCUUUGAAUAGACACCAAUUUGUAGUCAGGAAUGAUUUAUUUCCCAUAGUUACAGGUUAGCGCUCUUGUAAAAUUAAUCAUGGUAGCAAUUUUACAUGUGAUGGUGUAAAAUUUUUUUGACAGCUGGCACUUGGAUUAUGACAUCCCAUUUUUUCUUGUGCAA